UCAAACUUGAAAGAACUUAGAGAGUUGAACUUUUGAGAAUUGUAAAAGUUUGGUUGAGCUUCUAAGGGUGGGGAGUCUUGAAUUCUUACAAUGUCUUGCAAUAGCAAACUGCAAUGCCUUGAGUAUUCCUUUGAUUGAAAAUUGGUACCAGGCACGUUGUGAAGGUGUGAUAAUCUUAAGAUUUGGAUUCAAGUCAUUAGAUAUGUAAGUUUGGUAAGUUGCAGAAUUCCAACACAUUUGAGGCAGUAUGCAUGGGUUCGAAAUGUUGUUCCCACUCUUAAUGAUGAUCACAUUAAUGGAAUUGGUGUUAG
This is a long non-coding RNA of Ipomoea nil (Japanese morning glory), 311 nucleotides long. RefSeq lists it as uncharacterized. The transcript has 3 exons. Lineage: Eukaryota; Viridiplantae; Streptophyta; Magnoliopsida; Solanales; Convolvulaceae. The record is from RefSeq and is a predicted model, not a curated record.